UGCAAAAAAUGUGGAACGCUUCACGAUUUUGCGUGUCAUCCUUGCGCAGGGGCCAUGCUAAUCUUCUCUGUAUCGUUCCAAUUUUAGUAUAUGUACUGCCGAAGCAAGUACGAAAGUGGGAUUCUAUAACGUUGCUUAUAUACUAAGUACUACAUUCGAAGGCGCUAGCGAGAAACAGAAAGUUAUACAUAUUUUCGCCACCUAGCGGUGAAAUUAGGCAUUUGCAAUGUAACCUGAAAAACAGGCAUGGAGUACACUAGUUCAGUUGCGGUGGGGUAUCGAAUACUAAUAACUUUGGAAAUCUGUUAGGAAUUAUGCGACUGAAAGGAUGGAGAUAUGGUGUGUUUGUCGGAAGCUUCGUUGGACUUAUAAGUAUAUGCUGUUAUGCUUCCAUGAUAAGACCCAUGUUAAAUCCCGAACCGUAUAAGAGAAUUCGAGAACGAGCCUUUUCAGACAGACCUGUAUGAUUAAAGUCUGGAAAUUUUUAUAAAAAUACUUAGAAAAAUUCUGUAUAAAGGAUAAGUGAUAGAUAUAAAAUUAAAAUGGAUUAUUUGUUGUACAAAAUAAAUGUUAAUAUUUAUUAAAA
Solenopsis invicta (red fire ant) is the source of this 586-nucleotide long non-coding RNA. RefSeq lists it as uncharacterized. The record is from RefSeq and is a predicted model, not a curated record. Lineage: Eukaryota; Metazoa; Arthropoda; Insecta; Hymenoptera; Formicidae. The transcript is spliced from 3 exons.